UUUUUGAUGAGGAAUUAAGGAGGAAUGUGCAGUUGAUGUCUACUACACAACUUAUUCUUGUAGACUCGUGUUGGGCCUCCAAGCGCAGAGUUUUGUAGGACAGUAACAAUAUUCUCUCAAGUGGAUGACAUAAGGUUUAUCAAUUUGUGGGAGGUGUAGGAUGAAGAUGGUCUCUCUCAAACAACCAUGCAAUCAAAUACAAGAAAUCUCUUGUGUGCCCAACACACCGAAGACAAUGGUAAAUUGUAUAGGUGCACAAGUUCAACGAAGAGAUGGUCAUACAAGUGUAGUAUGGAUAGUAGAUAUAGGUUUUUGUAAUCUAAAAAUAUAAAAACAGCAAGGUAGGAAGUGAUAAAAUGGAGCACAAACGGUAUUGCAAUGCUUGAAAACAAGGCCUAGGGUUCAUACUUUCACUGGUGCAAUCUCUCAACAGUGCUAACAUAAUUGAAUCAUAUAACAAUCCCUCAAUGUAAGACAAAGAAUCACCCCAAAGUUCUUAUCUAGCGGAGAACAUAAGAUGAAAUUGUUGUAGGGUACGAAACCAUCUCAAAGUUAUCUUUUCCGAUCAAUCUAUUGAGCUAUUCCUUUAAGUGUCACAAAUAGCCCUAUAGUUCGUACUAAAGCAAAACCAUAUGAUACACAUCAACCAACUUUAAUGUCACCUAGAUACUCUAAUGUCACCACAAUUAUCCGUCAGUUGAUUAUUCGAUAUGCAUCAAACAACUUCACAUUCAUAAUAUCCAAUCCAACAUAAAGAACUUCAAAGAGUGCCCCAAGGUUUUAUCGGAGAAAGUAGCAUGGAAACAUGCAUCAACCCAUAUGCAUAGAUUACCCCAAUGUCACCUCGGGAAUCCGCAAUUGAGUUCCAAAGCAUACAUCAAGUGAAUCAAUAUAAUACCCAUUGUCACCAUGGGUAUUCAUAUGCAAGACAUACAUCAAGUGUUCUCAAAUCCAACAAGUAUUCAAUCUGACAAUAGUGAAACAUCAGAGGUAAAAACUCAAUUCAUCACAACAAGAUAGAGAGGGAGAAACACCAUAUGAUCCAACUAUAUUAACAAAGCUCGCGGUACAUCAAGAUCAUGCCAAAUCAAAAACACAAGAGAGAGAGAGAUCAAACACAUAGCUACUAGUACACACCCUCAGCCCUGAGGGUGAACUACUCCCUCCUCGUCAUGGUGGCCGCAAGGAUGAGGAAGAUGGCCUCCGGUGAUGAUUUCCCCCUCCAACAGGGUGUCGGAGCAGAGCUCCAGAUGGUAUUUCAAAGGUAUAGAGGCUUGCGGCAGCAGAGUCGAAGUUCUAGGGUUAUUUAUGAGGGUUUCCCUAUUUAUAAGAAUUUCUAGACUUGGAAUCACGUGAAAAUGAGCUAAUAUGGGCCAACGAGACACUAGCCCACGACCACCCCCUUGUGCGCGCCCUGGUGGCUUGUGGGGAGCUCGUGGCUCUUCUGGUCCUCCCACGAAGCUUCGAGGGUUUCUUUUAUCCAAAAAAAUCGUGAAAUUUUUUCACUGCAUUUGGACUUCAUUUGAUAUGGAUUUUCUGGAAAACCAAAAAAAAACAACUGGCACUGGGCACUAGGUCAAUAUCUUACCAUGAAAAUCAUAUAAAAGCCAUAUAAAAGUGCACCAAAAUCAUAAAAAACUAUAAUAAACAAGGCAUGAAUACUUCAUAAAUUAUAGAUACGUUGGAGACGUAUCAGCAUCCCCAAGCUUAAUUCCUGCUUGUCCUUGAUACUCUCCAAUGUAUCUAUAAUUUUUGAUUGUUCCAUGCUAUUAUAUUAUCUGUUUUGGAUGUUUUAUAUGCAUUAAUAUGCUAUUUUAUAUGAUUUUUGGGACUAACCUAUUAACCUAGAGCCUAGUGCCAGUUUCUAUUUUUUUCCUUGUUUAGAGUUUCGCAGAAAAGGAAUACCAAACGGAGUCCAAACGGAAUAAAACUUUUGUGAUGGUUUUUCUUGGACCAGAAGACACCCAAGAGACUUGGAGUGCAAGUCAGAAGAGCCACGAGGCGGCCACAAGGGUGGAGGGUGCGCCCCCCGACCUUGUGGGCCCCUCGAUGACCCCCUGACCUAGAUCUUCCUCCUAAAUAUUCUCAUAUACCCCAGAAACUUCCAGGGGAGCCACGAAACCACUUUUCCACCACCGCAACCUUCUGUACCCAUGAGAUCCCAUCUAGGGACCUUUUCCGGCAUCCUGCCAGAGGGGGAUUCGAUCAUGGAGGGCUUCUACAUCAACACCAUUGCCUCUCCGAUGAAGCGUGAGUAAUUUGCCACAGACCUAUGGGUCCAUAGCUAGUAGCUAGAUGGCUUCUUCUCUCUCUUCGAUUCUCAAUACCAUGCUCGCCUCGAUGUUCUUGGAGAUCUAUUCGAUGUAAUAAUCUUUUGUGGUGUGUUUGCCGAGAUCCGAUGAAUUGUGGAUUUAUGAUCAGCUUAUCUAUGAAUAUUAUUUGAAUCUCCUCUGAAUUCUUAUAUGCAUGAUUUGAUAUCUUUUCAAGUCUCUUUGAACUAUCGAUUUGGUUUGGCCAACUAGAUUGGUUUUUGCAAUGGGAGAAGUGCUUAGCUUUGGGUUCAAUCUUGCGGUUCUCGAUCCUAUUGACAGAAGGGGAACCAACAUGUAUUGUAUUGUUGCCAUUGAGGAUAACAAGAUGGGGUUUUCAUCAUAUUGCUUGAGUUAAUCCCGCUACAUCAUGUCAUCUUACUUAAUGGGUUACUCUGUUCUUAUGAACUUAAAACUCUAGAUGCAGGCAGGAGUCGGUCGAUGUGUGGAGUAAUAGUAGUAGAUGCAGAAUCGUUUCGGUCUACUUGACACAGAUGUGAUGCCUAUAUUCAUGAUCAUUGCCUUAGAUAUCAUCAUAAUUUUGCGCUUGUCUAUCAAUUGCUCGGCAGUAAUUUGUUCACCCCCCCGUAAUAAUUUCUAUCUUGAGAGAAGCCUCUAAUGAAACCUAUGGCCCCUGGGUCUAUUUCCCAUCAUAUAAGUUUCAGAUCUAUAAUUUUAGUUUCUGAUUUAAUUUCUUUGCAAUCUUUUACUUUCCGUUCCAUAAACCAAAAUAUUACUUUAUCGUUUAUCCAUCUAUAUCAGAUCUCACUUUGCAAAUAACCGUGAAGGGAUUGACAACCCCUUAUCGCGUUGGGUGCAAGUUGGUGUAUGUUUAUGUAGGUAUUCAGUGGCUUGUCACGUAGUCUCCUAUUAGAUUGAUACCUUGGUUCUCGAAACUGAGGGAAAUACUUACUCUACUUUGCUGCAUCACCAUUUCCUCUUCAAGGGAAAAACCAACUCAAGCUCAAGAGGUAGCACUUCUCGAGUAGGUAAGUGAUAAAAGAAAUAAUUUAUGAAUUGUGAAUGCUAGUAUAGUGCAUAAGUUUGAUUAAUGAUAAUUCUAAUCACUUUUCCUAGCAUCAUAACAACGACACUUUUCAUAAAACUCAUCAUGAUAAAGUAGCAAUCAAUUCACAUGUUAUGGUUCAAACAAUGCAUUCUCUUGAAACUUAACAACCUAUGUUCUUAGUCACCAAACAACUGCAAUUCAACUUAUCUCCAAAAAAGUCUAUGUAAGAGCUCCACAUACUCAAUUUUUAGUCUUCUAGAUUGCUAGUACUCAAAGCAUAUUUUUAAAACAAAUAGCAUCCAUCGAACACAGAGAAAGAUAGGGGCUUAAUGUUUCGCCUCCCAACUCAUUUAUCAUAGGGAUAAUUGUCAACAAUAAUAAUUCAUGAUCGAAUAUAUUUGAAUGGCCAUAUGUGCCUGGAUCUUUCCCCGCCACAUGAUACUUGCGAACUAUAUAAUAACUGAGGUUUAAAUGAGAAGGAAUACUAUUGACUCUUUCAUAAAAGUAAAUACAUAAAGUAAAAGAUAGACCCUUCACAGAGGGAAGCAGAGGUUGUCAUGCGCUUUUUAUUUUUGGUUGUGCAAGCCCUUAGUGCAAAGGAAUGUCACGUUAUAUUGCCUCUUGUGAUAGCAACCUUUAUUAUGUAGUCUGUCGCUUUUAUUUCUUUACUAUCACAAGUUUGUACAACGCUUAUUUUCCCUUGGAAUAAAAGAUCAUACAUAUUUUAGGAGCAAUUUUUAUUGCUUUUUGCACCGAUGACAACUUACUCGAAGGAUCUUAUUCAAUCCAUAGGUAGAUAUGGUGGACACUCAUGGCAAGAAACUGGGUUUAAGGUUUUUUUGAUGCACAAGUAGUAUCUCUAUGUAGUACGAAUUUUUGGAUAGCAAAAGAUCCUAAGCAAGCAACACAUGUUGGAGGAUCCAUAACAAUAUAACUUAUAUACAAAUAUACCCAAACAUAACUCAUUAUGUUGUCUUCCUUGUCCAAUUUCAGAUAAUUUUCUCAAGACUAAAAAUAAUUAAUGGGUAUUCACAAUCAUAAAAUAUGUCCAAGAUAAUAUAUUUAUAUGUGAAAAUUCUCUUCCUUAUACUAAUAAUUCAUGAAUUGCUUGUAUGAACGAUAUUGUGAUUGUCAAACUUCAAUAGCUUUUGCUUUCUAAACCCAAUGUGAAGCUACUACUAGGUAUGAUACAAGCAUAUGAAGUACAUAUAAUUUCAACUUUAUGAUAUUCAACUCAUUCAACAAUUUACUCUUAGGAUGUAAGUAAAGCACAAGAGUAAAUGACAAAGUAUUCCAAAAAGAUAUAAGUGAAGAUCAAAUGACUAGUUAAAUAAGUAGGUAGCUAUGUGAGGACUCUCUCUCAUUUUUUUCCAGAUCUUAAGUAUUUUAUUCAAACAAUAAAUAAAAUAAAAUGGCAUUACAAUAAUAUCACAUCUCAUUUGAAGAAGCAAAAACUUAGGCUCAACCGAGACUAAUCGUUAAUUGUUGAUGAAGAAAGGUGGGAUGCCUACCGGGGCAUCCCCAAGCUUAGAUGCUUGAGACUUCUUGGAAUAUUAAAUUGGGAUUCCUUGGACAUCCCCAAUAUUGAGCUCUUGUGUCUCCUUAAUUCCUCUCAUAUCACGGUUUCCUUAAAUCUUAAAAACUGCAUCCACACAAAACCCAACAAGAACUCGUGAGAUAAGUUAGUAUAAAUCAAUGCAAAAUCUUAUCAUUAUCUACUGUAACAAAUCACUAAAAUUAUUAUUCAACAUUGCAUACUAAAUGGCUCUGCAUAUUUAAUACUCCUAUCCUCAAAUAGAAUCAUUAAACAAGAAAACAUAUGCAAACAAUGCAAUGAUAACAACUAUCUGUCUAAACAGGACAGUCUGUAAAGGAUGAAGAGGGAUCCAUAAUUUUUAACUCAAAAAAUUAUGAAAAUUUCCCAGACUUUAGAAAAUUAAUCACAUAUUUAUUGUGUCAAAAUUUCAACAUUUUAUCGUAUUCUGACUUUUCUAGAGAAUUCAGGUAAUAACAGAAAACUUUCUGUUUAGAAACAACACUCAUAUACUUGCAAAUUGAGCAUGGUAAAGGCUAUACUUGACACUUUUAUUGAAAUAAGAGAUACAAAAUAUUGUUCUAAAUAAUAGCAAGCAAAUCUCAACAAUAGAAAAUGAUGCUCCAAGCAAAACACAUAUCAUGUGACGAAUAAAAAUAUAGUUUCGAGUGAGGUUACCAAUAAUGUUGAAGACGAAAAAGGGGAUGCCUUGCGGGGCAUCCCCAAGCUUAGUUGCUUGGGUCUUCCUUGAAUAUUACCAUGGGUUGCCUUGGGCAUCCCCAAGCUUAGGGUAUUUACACUCUUCAUUCUUCUCAUAUCGACAUCUCACCCAAAACUUGAAAACUUCAAUCACACAAAACUUAACAGAACUUCGUGAGAUGGGUUAGUAUGAAAAAGAGCAAAUUAUUUAGUUUGGUACUGUCAAGACAAGAUUCAUAAUUGUUCUUACAUAAUUAUUACUGUACCCUAUUAUUUCUACAAUUUAUGUUUACCAAUAUAAGCCAUAGAAACUAGAAAACAAGCAAACUAUGCAUUGAAAAUAUAAUCUAUCAAAAACAAAACAGUGUGUAAUGAUCUGAACAACAACCAUUCUUAUGUAAAUCCAAAAAUUCCAAAAAAUUAGGACAAAGUAGAAAAAUUUGUAUAUAAAUCAUGUGUAAAAAAUUCAGCUCAAAAUCACGUUCCAAUGAAUUUAAACAAUUAUGCUACUAGGUGCAACAGUUUCUGUUUUUGCACAUAAUCAAGUCAACUAUCAUCCACACCAUCCCAAAGGCUUUACAUGGCACUUUAUUGAAACAAAAGCUAUAAAACAUUAUUACUACAAUAUAUUAAUCAUGCUAACACACAAAAACUGUAGGUAAUAGUGUUGGGUUGUCUCCGAACAAGCACUUUUCUUUAAUGCCUUUUUUGCUAGGCAUGAUGGUUUCAAUGAUGCUCUCAUAGGAGUAAAGGAUUGAAACAUAAUGGGAGCAUCAUGAAAUAUAUGACUAGAACAUUUAAGUCUAACACACUUCCUAUGUAUAGGGAUUCUAUGAUCAAACAAUUCAUGGGAACAAGAAUCAACUAGCAUAGGAAGGCAAAACAAGCAUAACUUCAAAACUUUCAACACAUAGAUAGGAAAUUUGAUAUUAUUGAGACAUGUAAAAGAAUAUGUUCCUCUCUAAAAAUAAUAUUCAGUAGAAUCAUGAAGAUAUUCAAUAAUAUAACUAUCACAUAAAGCAUUCCUUUCAUGAUCCACAUGCAUAAAAAAUUUAUUACUCUCCACAUAAGCAAAUUUAUUCUCAUUCCUAAUAGUGGGAGCAAACGCAACAAAAUAACUAACAUGAGAUACUUGAUUGGCAUGAUCCAAUUGAAAAUAAAAAUCAUGAUGACAAGUUUAUAGCAUACAUGUCAUCACAAUAAUCAUCAUAUCUAGCUAGCAUACAUGCCAUCACAAUAAUCAUCAUAGAUAGCAACUUUGUUAUCAUAAUCAAUUGAAACCUCUUCCGAAAUAGUGGAAUCAUCAUUAAAUAAAGUCAUGACCUCUCCAAAUCCACCCUCAUAUUUAUCACAAUAAGAUUCAACACCCUCCAAAAUAGUGGGAUCAUUACUACCUAGAGUUGACACUCUUCCAAACCCACUUUCAUCAUUGUAAUCAUCACGAAUAGGAGGCAUGCUAUCAUCAUAAUAAAUUUUCUCCUCAAAACUUAGGGGACUAAAAAGAUUAUCUUCAUCAAACAUAGCAUCCCCAAGCUUAUGGUUUGCAUAUCAUUAGCAUCAUGGAUAUUCGAAGAAUUCAUACUAAUUUCAUUGCAAUCAUGUUUAUGAUUCAAAGAUUUUAUGCCAAACAUUUUAUUUAAUUCUUCUUCUAACACUUUGGCACAAUUUUCCGAUCCAUCAUUUUCAAGAAAGACAUGAUAAAGAAGAAGAAUAUGAGGUAACCUCAAUUCUAUUUUUUUGUACUUUUCUUUUUAUGACGAAACUAGUGAUAAAACAAGAAACUAAAAGAUUCAAUUGCAAGAUCUAAAGAUAUACCUUCAAGCACUCACCUCCCCGGCAACGGCGCCAGAAAAGAGCUUGAUGUGUACUACACAACUUAUUCUUGUACACUCGUGUUGGGCCUCCAAUCGUAGAGUUUUGUAUGACAGUAGCAAUUUUCCCUCAAGUGAAUGACCUAGGGUUUAUCAAUCCGUGGGAGGCGUAGGAUGAAGAUGGUCUCUCUCAAACAACCCCAAAAUCAAAUACAAGAAAUCUCUUGUGUCCCCAACACACCCAAUACAAUGGUAAAUUGUAUAGGUGCACUAGUUCGGCGAAGAGAUGGUGAUACAAGUGUAGUAUGGAUAGUAGAUAUAAGUUUUUAUAAUCUGAAAAUAUAAAAACAGCAAGGUAGAAAGUGAUAAAACGGAGC
This 7739-nucleotide long non-coding RNA is filed under the name Triticum aestivum (bread wheat). RNAcentral describes it as "long non-coding RNA (TAES_LNC001797)". The record is from RNAcentral. Lineage: Eukaryota; Viridiplantae; Streptophyta; Magnoliopsida; Poales; Poaceae.